UACCAGCUCUCCGAGUGGUAGGGAUGAUUAUUGGGCUUAAAGCGUCCGUAGCCGGCUUAGCAAGUCUCCUGUUAAACUCAGCGACCUAAUCGUUGAUCCGCGGGAGAUACUACUAGGCUAGGAGGCGGGAGAGGUCGACGGUACUUCCGGGGUAGGGGUGAAAUCCAAUAAUCCCUGGAGGACCACCAGUGGCGAAGGCGGUUAACUAGAACGCGCCUGACGGUGAGGGACGAAAGCUGGGGGAGCGAACCGGAUUAGACACCCGGGUAGUCCCAGCUGUAAACGAUGCGAGCUAGGUGUUGGGUCAGCUACGAGCUGCCCCGGUGCCGCAGAGAAGUCGUUAAGCUCGCCGCUUGGGAAGUACGAUCGCAAGAUUGAAACUUAAAGGAAUUGGCGGGGGAGCACCACAAGGGGUGAAGCCUGCGGUUC
RNAcentral lists this ribosomal RNA (429 nucleotides) under uncultured archaeon. RNAcentral's name for it is "bacterial SSU rRNA". It matches the Rfam family "Archaeal small subunit ribosomal RNA", at positions 474 to 903 of the family's 1478-position model. The record is from RNAcentral.